This 253-nucleotide ribosomal RNA is filed under the name uncultured bacterium. RNAcentral's name for it is "partial 16S ribosomal RNA". It matches the Rfam family "Bacterial small subunit ribosomal RNA", at positions 524 to 776 of the family's 1533-position model. The record is from RNAcentral.
UACGUAGGGUGCGAGCGUUAAUCGGAAUUACUGGGCGUAAAGCGUGCGCAGGCGGUUUUGUAAGCCAGAUGUGAAAUCCCCGGGCUUAACCUGGGAAUGGCAUUUGGGACUGCAAGGCUGGAGUGCGGCAGAGGAGACUGGAAUUCCUGGUGUAGCGGUGGAAUGCGCAGAUAUCAGGAGGAACACCGGUGGCGAAGGCGGGUCUCUGGGCCGUUACUGACGCUGAGGAGCGAAAGCGUGGGGAGCGAACAGG